UACGUAGGGGGCAAGCGUUGUCCGGAAUCAUUGGGCGUAAAGAGCGCGUAGGCGGCCCGAUAAGUCCGCUGUGAAAGUCAAGGGCUCAACCCUUGAAUGCCGGUGGAUACUGUCGGGCUAGAGUCCGGAAGAGGCGAGUGGGAAUUCCUGGUGUAGCGGUGAAAUGCGCAGAUAUCGAGAGGAACACCUGCGGCGAAGGCGGGUUGCUGGGCUGAUACUGACGCUGAGGCGCGAAAGCUAGGGGAGCGAACGGG
This 254-nucleotide ribosomal RNA is filed under the name uncultured bacterium. Its description in RNAcentral is "partial 16S ribosomal RNA". It matches the Rfam family "Bacterial small subunit ribosomal RNA", at positions 524 to 776 of the family's 1533-position model. The record is from RNAcentral.